UUGUAAUUUGUAGAAGGUGCUUCGGGUGCGACCCCGGUCGAAGUCCCUUGGAACAGGGCGUCGCAGAGGGUGAGAGUCCCGUACGCGGCCGAUGGUCAAGCCCGUGUGAAGCCCUUUCGACGAGUCGAGUUGUUUGGGAAUGCAGCUCUAAAUGGGUGGUAAAUUUCAUCUAAAGCUAAAUAUUUGCCUUAGACCGAUAGCGCACAAGUAGAGUGAUCGAAAGAUGAAAAGCACUUUGAAAAGAGAGUCAAACAGUACGUGAAAUUGUUGAAAGGGAAGCGCUUGCAACCAGACUCGUUCGCGGGUGCUCAGCCGUCCCUCGGGGCGGUGCACUCUCCCGCGUUUCGGGCCAGCAUCGGUUCUGGCGGCCGGACAAAGGCCCUGGGAAUGUAGCUCUCUUCGGGGAGUGUUAUAGCCCGGGGUGCAAUGCGGCCAGCCGGGACCGAGGACCGCGCAUCAGCUAGGAUGCUGGCGUAA
RNAcentral lists this ribosomal RNA (477 nucleotides) under Ocellularia australiana. Its description in RNAcentral is "eukaryotic LSU rRNA". It matches the Rfam family "Eukaryotic large subunit ribosomal RNA", at positions 143 to 634 of the family's 3401-position model. Lineage: Eukaryota; Fungi; Ascomycota; Lecanoromycetes; Ostropales; Graphidaceae. The record is from RNAcentral.